GAUGAACGCUGGCGGCGUGCCUAAUACAUGCAAGUCGAGCGAACAGACGAGGAGCUUGCUCCUCUGACGUUAGCGGCGGACGGGUGAGUAACACGUGGAAAACCUCCCUAUAAGACUGGGAUAACUUCGGGAAACCGGAGCUAAUACCGGAUAAUAUAUUGAACCGCAUGGUUGAAUAGUGAAAGACGGUUUUGCUGUCUCUUCUAGAUGGAUCCGCGCCGCAUUAGCGAGUUGGUAAGGAAACGGCUUACCAAGGCAACGAUGCGUAGCCGCCCUGAGAGGAUGAUCGGCCACACUGGAACUGAGACACGGUCCAGACUCCUACGGGAGGCAGCAGUAGGGAAUCUUGCGCAAUGAGCGAAAGCCUGACGGAGCAACGCCGCGUGAGUGAUGAAGGUCUUCGGAUCGUAAAACUCUGUUAUUAGGGAAGAACAAAUGUGUAAGUAACUAUGCGCGUCUUGACGGUACCUAAUCAGAAAGCCACGGCUAACUACGUG
This 497-nucleotide ribosomal RNA is filed under the name uncultured bacterium. RNAcentral's name for it is "partial 16S ribosomal RNA". It matches the Rfam family "Bacterial small subunit ribosomal RNA", at positions 28 to 507 of the family's 1533-position model. The record is from RNAcentral.